UACGUAGGGGGCAAGCGUUGUCCGGAAUCAUUGGGCGUAAAGAGCGCGUAGGCGGCCCAGUAAGUCCGCUCUGAAAGUCAGGGGCUCAACCCCUGAAUGCGGGUGGAUACUGCUGGGCUAGAGUCCGGAAGAGGCGAGUGGAAUUCCUGGUGUAGCGGUGAAAUGCGCAGAUAUCAGGAGGAACACCGGUGGCGAAGGCGGGUCUCUGGGCCGUUACUGACGCUGAGGAGCGAGAGCGUGGGGAGCGAACAGG
This 253-nucleotide ribosomal RNA is filed under the name uncultured bacterium. RNAcentral's name for it is "partial 16S ribosomal RNA". It matches the Rfam family "Bacterial small subunit ribosomal RNA", at positions 524 to 776 of the family's 1533-position model. The record is from RNAcentral.